ACUCCUACGAGGCAGCAGUGGGGAAUUUUGGACAAUGGGCGAAAGCCUGAUCCAGCAAUGCCGCGUGUGUGAAGAAGGCCUUCGGGUUGUAAAGCACUUUUGUCCGGAAAGAAAUCCUUGGCUCUAAUACAGUCGGGGGAUGACGGUACCGGAAGAAUAAGCACCGGCUAACUACGUGCCAGCAGCCGCGGUAAUACGUAGGGUGCGAGCGUUAAUCGGAAUUACUGGGCGUAAAGCGUGCGCAGGCGGUUUGCUAAGACCGAUGUGAAAUCCCCGGGCUCAACCUGGGAACUGCAUUUGUGACUGGCAGGCUAGAGUAUGGCAGAGGGGGGUAGAAUUCCACGUGUAGCAGUGAAAUGCGUAGAGAUGUGGAGGAAUACCGAUGGCGAAGGCAGCCCCCUGGGCCAAUACUGACGCUCAUGCACGAAAGCGUGGGGAGCAAACAGGAUUAGAAACCCCGGUAGUCCCA
Molecule: ribosomal RNA, 469 nt
Filed under: uncultured organism
Description: partial 16S ribosomal RNA
Rfam family: Bacterial small subunit ribosomal RNA
Source: RNAcentral